CGCGGUAAUACGUAGGGUGCAAGCGUUAAUCAGGUACUGGGCGUAAAGCGUGCGCAGGCGGUUCGGAAAGAAGAUGUGAAAUCCCAGAGAGCUUAACUUUGGAACUGCAUUUUUAACUACCGAGCUAGAGUGUGUCAGAGGAGGUGGAAUUCCGCGUGUAGCAGUGAAAUGCGUAGAUAUGCGGAGGAACACCGAUGGCGAAGGCAGCCUCCUGGGACAACACUGACGCUCAUGCACGAAAGCGUGGGGAGCAAACAGGAUUAGAUACCCUGGUAGUCCACGCCCUAAACGAUGUCAACUAGCUGUUGGGGCCUUCGGGCCUUGGUAGCGCAGCUAACGCGUGAAGUUGACCGCCUGGGAAAUUACGGUCGCAAGAUUAAAACUCAAAGGAAUUGACGGGGACCCGCACAAGCGGUGGAUGAUGUGGAUUAAUUCGAUGCAACGCGAAAACCUUACCUACCCUUGACAUGUCUGGAAUCCCGAAGAGAUUUGGGAGUGCUCGCAAGAGAACCGGAACACAGGUGCUGCAUGGCUGUCGUCAAUGUGUCGUGAGAUGUUGGGUUAGAAUCCCGCAACAGCGCAACCCUUGUCAUUAGUUGCUACGAAAGGGCACUCUAAUGAGACUGCCGGUGACAAACCGGAGGAAGGUGGGGAUGACGUCAAGUCUCCAUGGCCCUUAUGGGUAAGACUGCACGUCAUACAAUGGUCGGGACAGAGGGUCGCCAACCCGCGAGGGGGAGCCAAUCCCAGAAACCCGAUCGUAGUCCGGAUCGCAGUCUACAACUCGACUGCGUGAAGUCGGAAUCGCUAGUAAUCGCGGAUCAGCAUGUCGCGGUGAAUGCAUUUCCGGGUCUUGUACACACCGCCCGUCACACCAUGGGAGUGGGUUUUACCAGAAGUAGUUAGCCUAACCGUAAGGAGGGCGAUUACCACGGUAGGAUUCAUGACUGGGGUGAAGUCGUAACAAAGGUAA
Molecule: unclassified non-coding RNA, 973 nt
Filed under: uncultured Bordetella sp.
Lineage: Bacteria; Pseudomonadati; Pseudomonadota; Betaproteobacteria; Burkholderiales; Alcaligenaceae
Description: partial 16S-23S ribosomal RNA intergenic spacer
Rfam family: Bacterial small subunit ribosomal RNA
Source: RNAcentral